RNAcentral lists this transfer RNA (77 nucleotides) under Robiginitomaculum sp. RNAcentral's name for it is "tRNA-Arg". It matches the Rfam family "tRNA". Rfam says of the family: Transfer RNA (tRNA) molecules are approximately 80 nucleotides in length. Their secondary structure includes four short double-helical elements and three loops (D, anti-codon, and T loops). Further hydrogen bonds mediate the characteristic L-shaped molecular structure. tRNAs have two regions of fundamental functional importance: the anti-codon, which is responsible for specific mRNA codon recognition, and the 3' end, to which the tRNAs corresponding amino acid is attached (by aminoacyl-tRNA synthetases). tRNAs cope with the degeneracy of the genetic code in two manners: having more than one tRNA (with a specific anti-codon) for a particular amino acid; and 'wobble' base-pairing, i.e. permitting non-standard base-pairing at the 3rd anti-codon position. Lineage: Bacteria; Pseudomonadati; Pseudomonadota; Alphaproteobacteria; Maricaulales; Robiginitomaculaceae. The record is from RNAcentral.
GGUCCCGUAGCUCAACUGGAUAGAGCAGCCGCCUUCUAAGCGGCAGGUUGAAGGUUCGAGUCCUUCCGGGAUCACCA